RNAcentral lists this ribosomal RNA (250 nucleotides) under uncultured bacterium. RNAcentral's name for it is "partial 16S ribosomal RNA". It matches the Rfam family "Bacterial small subunit ribosomal RNA", at positions 524 to 773 of the family's 1533-position model. The record is from RNAcentral.
UACGGAGGGUGCGAGCGUUAAUCGGAAUUACUGGGCGUAAAGCGAGUGUAGGCGGUUGCAUAAGUCGGAUGUGAAAGCCCCGGGCUUAACCUGGGAAUGGCAUUCGAUACUGUGCGGCUAGAGUCUGAUAGAGGGAAGUGGAAUUCCAGGUGUAGCGGUGAAAUGCGUAGAUAUCUGGAAGAACACCAGUGGCGAAGGCGGCUUCCUGGAUCAAGACUGACGCUGAGGCUCGAAAGCGUGGGGAGCAAAC